Molecule: ribosomal RNA, 1209 nt
Filed under: uncultured bacterium
Lineage: Bacteria
Description: partial 16S ribosomal RNA
Rfam family: Bacterial small subunit ribosomal RNA
Source: RNAcentral
GCUAGUAGCGGGAUAAUUCCGGGAAGCUGUCUAUUCCGCAUUCGCUUACGAGUAGCAGGGAUGCAGACUUGCAUAUUAGAGCGGCGAAUCGAUAGCUAGUUGUUGGGUUACGUCACCAGCGACGAUCGUAGCUGUUGAGAGGACGAUCAGCACACUGGGACUGAGACACGGCCAGACUUCUACGGAAGCAGCAGUGGGGAAUUUUGGACAAUUGGGGGAAACCUGAUCCAGCCACCCCCGCGUGUGCGAUGAAGCCUUCGGGUUGUAAAGCACUUUUGGCAGGAAAGAAACGUCAUGGGUUAUACCCUGUGAAACUGACGGUACCUGCAGAAUAAGCACCGGCUAACUACGUGCCAGCAGCCGCGGUAAUACGUAGGGUGCAAGCGUUAAUCUGAAUUACUGGGCGUAAAGCGUGCGCAGGCGGUUCGGAAAGAAAGAUGUGAAAUCCCAGAGCUCAACUUUGGAACUGCAUUUUUAACUACCGGGCUAGAGUGUGUCAGAGGGAGGUGGAAUUCCGCGUGUAGCAGUGAAAUGCGUAGAUAUGCGGAGGAACACCGAUGGCGAAGGCAGCCUCCUGGGAUAACACUGACGCUCAUGCACGAAAGCGUGGGGAGCAAACAGGAUUAGAUACCCUGGUAGUCCACGCCCUAAACGAUGUCAACUAGCUGUUGGGGCCUUCGGGCCUUAGUAGCGCAGCUAACGCGUGAAGUUGACCGCCUGGGGAGUACAGUCGCAAGAUUAAAACUCAAAGGAAUUGACGGGGACCCGCACAAGCGGUGGAUGAUGUGGAUUAAUUCGAUGCAACGCGAAAAACCUUACCUACCCUUGACAUGUCUGGAAUUCCGAAGAGAUUUGGAAGUGCUCGCAAGAGAACCGGAACACAGGUGCUGCAUGGCUGUCGUCAGCUCGUGUCGUGAGAUGUUGGGUUAAGUCCCGCAACGAGCGCAACCCUUGUCAUUAGUUGCUACGAAAGGGCACUCUAAUGAGACUGCCGGUGACAAACCGGAGGAAGGUGGGGAUGACGUCAAGUCCUCAUGGCCCUUAUGGGUAGGGCUUCACACGUCAUACAAUGGUCGGGACAGAGGGUCGCCAACCCGCGAGGGGGAGCCAAUCCCAGAAACCCGAUCGUAGUCCGGAUCGCAGUCUGCAACUCGACUGCGUGAAGUCGGAAUCGCUAGUAAUCGCGGAUCAGCAUUCGAAGAUCCCCCU